AGGUUUCCGUAGGUGAACCUGCGGAAGGAUCAUUACUGAGUGAGGGCCCUCUGGGUCCAACCUCCCACCCGUGUUUAUUGUACCUUGUUGCUUCGGUGCGCCCGCCUCACGGCCGCCGGGGGGCUUCUGCCCCCGGGUCCGCGCGCACCGGAGACACUAUUGAACUCUGUCUGAAGAUUGCAGUCUGAGCAUAAACUAAAUAAGUUAAAACUUUCAACAACGGAUCUCUUGGUUCCGGCAUCGAUGAAGAACGCAGCGAAAUGCGAUAACUAAUGUGAAUUGCAGAAUUCAGUGAAUCAUCGAGUCUUUGAACGCACAUUGCGCCCCCUGGUAUUCCGGGGGGCAUGCCUGUCCGAGCGUCAUUGCUGCCCUCAAGCACGGCUUGUGUGUUGGGCUCCGUCCCCCCGGGGACGGGUCCGAAAGGCAGCGGCGGCACCGAGUCCGGUCCUCGAGCGUAUGGGGCUUUGUCACCCGCUCUGUAGGCCCGGCCGGCGCCAGCCGACAACCAAUCAUCCUUUUUUCAGGUUGACCUCGGAUCAGGUAGGGAUACCC
RNAcentral lists this ribosomal RNA (552 nucleotides) under Penicillium glabrum. Its description in RNAcentral is "eukaryotic LSU rRNA". The stretch from base 209 to 362 matches the Rfam family "5.8S ribosomal RNA". The record is from RNAcentral. Lineage: Eukaryota; Fungi; Ascomycota; Eurotiomycetes; Eurotiales; Aspergillaceae.